Molecule: long non-coding RNA, 3234 nt
Organism: Felis catus (domestic cat)
Lineage: Eukaryota; Metazoa; Chordata; Mammalia; Carnivora; Felidae
Exons: 2
Source: RefSeq, a predicted model, not a curated record
CAUAGUUGAAAAAAUUAAAGAAAUGUUUUUAAUAAAAAUUGAAAAUAAAGUAGAUUUUUUCUCCUUCUGUAUUCAAGGAAAAGAAAAGAAAUGAAAAAGAGAAAAAAGAAAAUUGAAUAGCUGGACCAGCGAAUAGACCGAAAUACGAUUGAAAUUACUUUGGUUUCCCCUAGAAGUCAAACUAUGAAGCACUGUAUAGUCCGUAAACUAAGCAGGCGGAGAGACUUGUGUUCCUGAAGAACGAGGUUGGCCUGGUUGGGCGGGGCUUAGUGCAACGGCUCCGUUCUCCACUAGAUGGCGCUGCCCAGCUUACCUGGUUGGAGUGUUGCGACGCUUGUAGGUGUGUAUGCGCAUGCGCAGGAAUAGUGAGCACGGCGUCGCGCAACUACCCAGUGUAGCAGUGUAGCUUCUCUCUCCGACCAGCAAUCACGCUCCCGACCUUUGUCUCGGGCUUCCUGGGGCUUCCUCAGCUCCCGCUUUUACACUGUCCCUGACCAAGCCGUCAGGUUGCCGGGCGGCACCUCCCUCCUGAGUUUUAUCUCCGUCGCUGCUGUGCUUCCCGACCCCUCACUUUGGAGGGACCGCGGCUCGGACCCGCUCAGAUCCUCUGCGGGAGGGUCUCCCCGAGCAAUGGCCGGGUGCCGGCCUCACCCGGGAACGUUCGCGGGACUCUGCUGCUGCCGUCGCCAGAGACUGCGGCUGGGCACCAGCCUGCCCCAGAGAAGGUUCACGCGAUGGUGUAGCGGCAGCGUUGGAGGGAUCAUGCGAAAUCACAACACGCGUCCCGCACCAGGCUUCGCCUUUCCCACCAGAGCAGCGCCAGCCCUGCCUUUUGCCCAAAGAAGGAGAAACGAACUUUGUUCAGAACAGACGGUGGAUGGCACAGCUCCCGUGGCGGGCAUCGCCGAUGGACCCUGGUGUGAACCUGGUAGCCUUCACCCCUGGUCCGGGCAGUCACUACGAAGCAAAUGGAGAUGAAAGCUGUCUGCCUUCUUCUGGACCGAGAGCAAGGCCCUGUUGCCCGGCAGGGGAGUUCGCAUCCUGCCCCUGUGCGGUUACCUGUCUGGCAUUGAGUCCCUCUCUCCCGUCGUGGCCAGAGGCUGCUGUUGUGGACUCUACCCACUAGAUGCCAGUAGUGGUCCCCGUCACUCUUGUGUCGAUCACAAAUCUCUCCAGACGUUGCCCAAUGUCCCGGAAGGGUUAGUUAGGCAAAUUUGCCCCUGCUUGGAGCUCUGCUCUGGAAAGAGUUCUCCCUGGCCGUGAACCCCCUGCCGUCUGUGCUAUGAACAUGCUUCAGGGCUGGCGCCUUUCACGGCGCAGCGGCCAGGCUGACUGAAAGUGCUAACCAGCUGAUGCCCAUUCCUGAUUUAGAACCCGUCAUGAGCUUCCUGCUGCCCUCAGGACAAGCUCUGGAGCUCCACCUUGUCCUUGGGGGCCCCUUCUCUCUACAGCAUCAUCUUGGACCACUCUCUUCCCGCAUCACGUGGGAUGGCACAGGUCACAGGUGCUUCUUGGGGGACUGCCACAGCGAGGGCCACAGAUGCUAGCCUGGGACCUGCUGCUGCCGAGGCCGGGGUCCCAGUCCCCGUGCAUGCUGAUGGCUUCCUCUGACAUCGUGGGGUGCUCUGGGGCCCGCUGCUGGGCAUCCUGGGCCUGCGCCCUGGGCAGGCAAAUGUGCCAGAGAGUGAAUAUGCCCCAGUGAUCCUCAGUGGGCGAGGGGUGGGGGUUGGCGGGUAAGUGGCCCUUCCCCUUGCCUGUCAGUGGGAUCAUUCUGAUGCAUUUUUCAGUCUCCGGCGGAUGGGUCCCCAGGUGCCCGUUGCAGGUCCUGCACGAUUGCUCUCCCUGUUGGUUUCUCCCUGUCCCACCUCACUCUUCACUGCCUGGCCGAAGCUCCCUACCACCCCCAAUAAAGAGUUUGCACCCAGGUCCUGUCUCGGGCUUGAGUUGUACAUUCAUGACUGAAGGGUGUCGAACGCGGAGCAUAAUGUGGACACGACCCAGCCCACCCCCGUGGCUUGCGAGCAGUGGCUUUUUAGGACCCCCAGCUGUCCUGAGAAUGGCCUCACCCAUCUCCCAUGGGACUCUCAGGGCAUGGAGCCCUGCCUGAGCCGCUUCCAAAAACACUGAGGGGAGUCGUAGAAGGGAAGGCAGGCAGGUGUGGUGGGAAGGGAGAGGAUGGAGUUGGGUGUUGGCUGUGAGCCCUGCCCUGGCUGUCUUCUGUGAUUUGGGGCAAGUGACUUCUCUUGCCCCAAUUUUCUGCUCUCGAGGACCAUUGCAGGAUUUAUCAUCUGGACAGGGGCACAGGGGGUAUGAGGGGGACGCUCUCAGUAACUAUGCCGGAACCAUGGGCAUGCGCCAGGAUGUGGGAUCCUCUGCCUCGUCUGCUAAGCACGGAUAAUAACGCUCCCAUUGGGGGACCCAGAUUAAGACCUAUGUGACUAUGUUAAUCUUUGCACACAGUACAAGACAUGACACCAUUAUCACCUCAUUCGACAGAUGAAUAAACUGACACCAAGGGGAGUUCACUGACUGGCUUAGGGUCCAGAACUUGCUCAUGUGCAGGUACACGUUUGGUGCCCUUGACCAUGAUGUCACAAUGGAGGGGUGGUGCUGCUGGCGUUGCUGGCCUGGUAGCCCCCGUUCUCCAAGUUCUGCACCAUGCUUAACAUCAUCUGGUGUGUCCUCACCACCACCCGGGGAGGCGAGACGUGACUGUUCUCCCCACCCGCAGACCCAACCUCCACACUUGCCUGCUUCAGUUUCUGAGAUGUGCUACCCCCACCCCCCGCACUCCCAGUGUGCUGAGGUUAGAGGCUCCCACAGGACCUGCCUGGGUGGGCCUGGAGCCCUCCUGGCUGUUCUCAGGACUCCUGGGAAUCGUGGAGGAGCCAUCCCUCACUGAGCUCAUGGAUGGGCUGAGUCUACAUCGUGCUCAGCCAUCAGCGUCCUUUAAAUAUGAACGUAUAAAUUGAGCCUCUUAGUUUCAAGGUGGUAAAACUAUUUGUUUAAAAUAGCUUCCGCUCAGCCCAUCCUCACAGAUAAACAUAAAUAAAUCAUACCACUUUUCCAUGAAUUAUGCAUUAAAUACAUAUCUGUAAAGCUUCCCCGUCAAUGGUAGGGCUUUGAACAUAUGGGCUUUUAAUUGGACACUAAAUCAAUUUUCCUAUCUCCAUUGAUGGAAUUUAAAAAACACUCCUAGCUUUAUUUCAAACGUCUGUCCUUGUUACCUGAUAA